This 119-nucleotide ribosomal RNA is filed under the name Pteropus alecto (black flying fox). The record is from RNAcentral. Lineage: Eukaryota; Metazoa; Chordata; Mammalia; Chiroptera; Pteropodidae.
GUCUACGGCCAUGCCACCCUGAACAAGCCUGAUUCCGUCUGAUCUUGGAAGCUAAGCAGGGUUGGGCCGGGUUAGUACUUGGACGGGAGACCAUCUAGGAAGACCAGGUGCUGUAGAUG